Molecule: ribosomal RNA, 1343 nt
Filed under: uncultured bacterium
Lineage: Bacteria
Description: 16S ribosomal RNA
Rfam family: Bacterial small subunit ribosomal RNA
Source: RNAcentral
GACGAACGCUUUCGGCGUGCUUAACACAUGCAAGUCGAACGGAAAGGCCCUGCUUUUGUGGGGUGCUCGAGUGGCGAACGGGUGAGUAACACGUGAGUAACCUGCCCUUGACUUUGGGAUAACUUCAGGAAACUGGGGCUAAUACCGGAUAGGAGCUCCUGCUGCAUGGUGGGGGUUGGAAAGUUUCGGCGGUUGGGGAUGGACUCGCGGCUUAUCAGCUUGUUGGUGGGGUAGUGGCUUACCAAGGCUUUGACGGGUAGCCGGCCUGAGAGGGUGACCGGCCACAUUGGGACUGAGAUACGGCCCAGACUCCUACGGGAGGCAGCAGUGGGGAAUAUUGCACAAUGGGCGGAAGCCUGAUGCAGCAACGCCGCGUGCGGGAUGACGGCCUUCGGGUUGUAAACCGCUUUCGCCUGUGACGAAGCGUGAGUGACGGUAAUGGGUAAAGAAGCACCGGCUAACUACGUGCCAGCAGCCGCGGUGAUACGUAGGGUGCGAGCGUUGUCCGGAUUUAUUGGGCGUAAAGGGCUCGUAGGUGGUUGAUCGCGUCGGAAGUGUAAUCUUGGGGCUUAACCCUGAGCGUGCUUUCGAUACGGGUUGACUUGAGGAAGGUAGGGGAGAAUGGAAUUCCUGGUGGAGCGGUGGAAUGCGCAGAUAUCAGGAGGAACACCAGUGGCGAAGGCGGUUCUCUGGGCCUUUCCUGACGCUGAGGAGCGAAAGCGUGGGGAGCGAACAGGCUUAGAUACCCUGGUAGUCCACGCUGUAAACGGUGGGUACUAGGUGUGGGGUCCAUUCCACGGGUUCCGUGCCGUAGCUAACGUUUUAAGUACCCCGCCUGGGGAGUACGGCCGCAAGGCUAAAACUCAAAGGAAUUGACGGGGCCCCGCACAAGCGGCGGAGCAUGCGGAUUAAUUCGAUGCAACGCGUAGAACCUUACCUGGGUUUGACAUGGAUCGGGAGCGCUCAGAGAUGGGUGUGCCUCUUUUGGGGUCGGUUCACAGGUGGUGCAUGGCUGUCGUCAGCUCGUGUCGUGAGAUGUUGGGUUAAGUCCCGCAACGAGCGCAACCCUUGUUCACUGUUGCCAGCACGUUAUGGUGGGGACUCAGUGGAGACCGCCGGGGUCAACUCGGAGGAAGGUGGGGAUGACGUCAAGUCAUCAUGCCCCUUAUGUCCAGGGCUUCACGCAUGCUACAAUGGCUGGUACAGAGAGUGGCGAGCCUGUGAGGGUGAGCGAAUCUCGGAAAGCCGGUCUCAGUUCGGAUUGGGGUCUGCAACUCGACCUCAUGAAGUCGGAGUCGCUAGUAAUCGCAGAUCAGCAACGCUGCGGUGAAUACGUUCCCGGG